UACGUAGGUGGCAAGCGUUAUCCGGAUUUAUUGGGCGUAAAGGGAACGCAGGCGGUCUUUUAAGUCUGAUGUGAAAGCCUUCGGCUUAACCGGAGUAGUGCAUUGGAAACUGGGAGACUUGAGCGCAGAAGAGGAGAGUGGAACUCCAUGUGUAGCGGUGAAAUGCGUAGAUAUAUGGAAGAACACCAGUGGCGAAAGCGGCUCUCUGGUCUGUAACUGACGCUGAGGUUCGAAAGCGUGGGUAGCAAACAGG
Molecule: ribosomal RNA, 253 nt
Filed under: uncultured bacterium
Lineage: Bacteria
Description: partial 16S ribosomal RNA
Rfam family: Bacterial small subunit ribosomal RNA
Source: RNAcentral